CUACGGGAUGCACCAGUGGGGAAUCUUGCGCAAUGGGCGAAAGCCUGACGCAGCAACGCCGCGUGCGGGAUGAAGGCCUUCGGGCUGUAAACCGCUUUCAGCAGGAACGAAAAUGACGGUACCUGCAGAAGAAGGAGCGGCCAACUACGUGCCAGCAGCCGCGGUGACACGUAGGCUCCAAGCGUUGUCCGGAUUUAUUGGGCGUAAAGAGCUCGUAGGCGGUUGAGUAAGUCGGGUGUGAAAACUCUGGGCUUAACCCGGAGACGCCAUCCGAUACUGCUCUGACUAGAGUUCAGGAGGGGAGUGGGGAAUUCCUAGUGUAGCGGUGAGAUGCGCAGAUAUUAGGAGGAACACCGGUGGCGAAGGCGCCACUCUGGACUGAAACUGACGCUGAGGAGCGAAAGCAUGGGUAGCAAACAGGAUUAGAUACCCCAGUAGUC
This 440-nucleotide ribosomal RNA is filed under the name uncultured bacterium. RNAcentral's name for it is "partial 16S ribosomal RNA". It matches the Rfam family "Bacterial small subunit ribosomal RNA", at positions 339 to 795 of the family's 1533-position model. The record is from RNAcentral.